UGGGUGUGAUGAGGAGGAAUAGCGGGAAAUAGGCAUAAAACCGUGAUUAGUGAGGAGACGGCCGGCGGGGUUUUGACAGGUGGUGAUCAGCUGAUGCCCGCACGUGGACCCUCGAGGCACCGAGUCCAAGGGGCGUAUUUUAAAACAUUUUGUCGCCCAAGUUCACAUAUUUGACAUGGCUUUCGUAGGAGCUGUAGGCCUUUCCAGAGGUAGUUUUAUGACCCUGGUGGUAGUUUGACCCUUCUGUACCAUGAACCUUAAAAAACACUCUUGAAAACCCGGUUGACCCCCUAGCUCUUUGACCUUUAGAAAUAGUUGAUGUGAGAAGCGAUGGUGCCUUAAAGUACGGCCCCAAGGGUGUCCAAAAUCGUGCAAUUCACAACAUCUAUCACCAGAAAACUAUUAGUGCCUACCGCCCACACGGCCACUAGGACCUGCCUGGGCUGGUGGACUGCUGUGCUUACACCUCCGAGGGGCAGCCAUGGCUAAAGUGUUGCCAAUUUUUCCUGUGCAUCCCUCCUCCUCACAUUUAAAGAUGCACCAGGUCACACAGGGAUAUAAGAAGACUACAAGAGGCCAGACAACCUACACAUGGCAGAUCCUGAGCUCUGGUUUGGGCUAAGCUGGAACUCACCACCAUGACCUCAGAGGAGCAACUACCUGCAUGAUAACCAUGAAGCUUCCUGCAUCUCAUGAGCUGGCUGGGUGAGGGUGUGGCAAGAAUCACUCAAGCAGAGGAAAACGGAACAGGGAAGUGACUGGUCGGGGCAGCCGGGAGUUUGCAAAAGGAAGGGUUGGUGAAUCCCAUGAGAAUUGUUGUCAGCAGGUCAUUGUAUCUGUCAGAGUGGGUAACAUGGGGUCCAGUCAUACUUAUUUUUGGCACAUUGGUGUUCUGCAGGGUUUCCAUACAGGAUUACUUUGAAGGUUUGAUGACCCUUGAACGUACAGUGAUGCCAGGGGCUGUGAGCUUGCCAGGAGUGUGUGGGCUUGCUGAUGACAACACAUGGAGGCUCUACAGGCUGUGGAAGAGUUGUCAACAGGAAGGCCACAAGACUCCUGUUAAAUAGGUUGACACUGAUUUCAGGCUUGCUAACAUUCCUGGCAGGUUUGUUUCAAGUUUGUUAAGCUUGAUAAUCAAAGGAAUAAAGUACAAAAACUGUAAAACAUCUCCAUACCUGAAAUGUGUAGGCUGGACUUCAUGAAUACCCUUGUAACAUGAAUUUAUAACCUGAUGAUAACAGUACUGGAGGUGAAAGGAGUCAUUCUGUGCGGAGUUCAGUUUAUUCCCCGAUAAUUUUGGCUUCGUGUUUUCAAGGGGACUGAGGGAGCUUCAGAGCCGUCACGUCUUAUGAGCCCAGUCACAGGCAGCUCGGUUCGCUGAAUAGAAUGAACUGCUGUGAGGGUAAUCAAUUUGGGUCAGAUGCUUGGAUGUUAUUGAUUGACUGUGGCAUCUUCCCUUUCCUUGGUUUAUGUUUCUUUGUUAUCAUGUGUUAUUUACCUAACGUCCUCCCGUCUUCCCUUCCCUUCCUCGCCCAUUCCUUCGUCCAUUUUCUAACAUCCUCCCUUCUUUCCUUCCCUUACUCUCCUGCACCCAUUCUCCUUCUUUGCCCAUUCCUUCAUCCCUUACCCAAUAUCCUCCCUUACUCCCCUGCACCCACACUCCUUCAUCCCUUACCUAACGUCCUCCCUUUCCUGUCCCCCCCUCCACUCCUUUAGACUCACAGUCCCUGCAGCCUCGGCCCACACAAUAUCUCUUGUCCUUUUGUUGAUGGUAUGGUUUGCAUAUUUAGGGUAUACAAUGCUUCUCUGGCUUUCCUGUCAAGCUGAAAAGUGACCUCAGCAAGAAAGAAAGGCCACAGAAGCAUUGUGUAUCGUCAUGUGAAAGAGAUCAUCAACAAAAGGACGGGAGAUCUGGUGGUGGCUGAGACUGGAGUGAGUGCUGCCUAAUUUUUCUUGUAAGUAGAGCUGUACAAACCAAUAAAAAGGCAGAUGUCAUGGCCAAUCAGUAGCAUCCAGACCAUUGACCACAUGUGAAUACCCUCUUGUCAAUUCAGCGAGCUCAGCCACCACUGUGACUGGGCUUGUAAGACGUGACGGGACUUGAGCUUCCUUGGUUAUUCUAAGAAGUAUUGGCAAAACUAGUUGGGAGUUAACUGAACCUGGCACACCAAC
Molecule: long non-coding RNA, 2172 nt
Organism: Eriocheir sinensis (Chinese mitten crab)
Lineage: Eukaryota; Metazoa; Arthropoda; Malacostraca; Decapoda; Varunidae
Exons: 3
Source: RefSeq, a predicted model, not a curated record